UGCAUAUGUUUGACAUCUGUAAGAAAUAUUGUUGUACAUGGUUUGAAUAUACAGCCCACCACUCAGGCCAUGCAGAAAAUCUGGAGGAGAUGGCAGAAGCUCAAGACAUCUGAACAGAACUUCUACUGUUAGAGAGAGCGGAAGCAGUGGGGCUGAACAGCAGAUUUUUCAGCAAGGCAAUUGCAGUCUCUCAAAUGUUGAAGUCUGGGGAGAAUUCUGAUUUCUUCCUGUCUUCUGAUACCUCAACAACAGGAAAUCAUCAAUUCUAAUUUCUAAUUUGUCAGAUCCUGUGGAGUGUCAGUCACAGGCGGAGGUGGAGAAGUCCUGCCCAGAUCACGAGGAGGUGGCUGUGAUUAGUGCAUGACCCCAUAGCAGGACCUGUGGAGUUGUGCCUGGGAGGUGAGCAAGACAGGGGGGUGAGUUUGACUAGCAAGUCAUCUUUUCAUCAGCACAGAGAAGAAAAGAGUAAAGAGGGGGAGAGGAGGAAAAAAGGGUGAAAAUGGCAAGCAAGUACUGAUCAGGUCAACAUCUGUGCUCCUGCAGUGGGCUGGGCUCUCUGGCACCAGUUUACCAGCAUCCAUUACAUCUUUUUCUUAAUUUUAAAAGUAGUUUCUAAUAAUUUAUCAAGUAUGUGGUAGAGCAGAAAGUAGCUGUGGUGUUAGAAAAACUCUGGAAAUGGUAAGCAAAUGAAAAUGACACAGCUGUUCCAGGCUUUCCCAGCCUCCCAAGAAGACAGCUCAGACUGCAGCACGACACACACCACAUUUCACUGGCAUAGGGCCAUGGUUUGUGUCACAGCCAGACAGCUUGCAACAGAGCUUGGCCCAAAUGUGAAAAGCCUUCUUAUUUGAACUUGAGAAAUACAGAGUCAUAUUCAGAUUUUAAAGCUUUCUAAUGAAUAAAAGUUUAGGACAGAAAAUUCAGUACAGCUGUUACUGCUGAAUCCAGACAGGGAUUGAAAGGUGGACGUUCAGCAAGGGAUGCUUCCAGCAGCCCUCAUCCCUCCAGCCCUGCAUCCUCAUCCUCCCAGGGCACUGAGCACCCUCCAGCCCUGCAUCCUCAUCCUCCCAGGGUGCUGAGCACCCUCCAGCCCUGCAUCCUCAUCCUCCCAGGGUGCUGAGCACCCUCCAGCCCUGCUGGCUUCCCUGAGAGCCAGUGAGCAGCCUCUCCUAGUGCUAACCUAAUGGGACAGCAUGAACUUACAGCUCAGGAGGGAAGAUGCCUGCCUGUGACCCAGGAGUGUCUUACAGUUGCUGGCCAUGCGCUGUUCAGAGAGGUCUGAUGCCAGGUGAAAUCUGCAGCAGCUCUGUUUCCCACAAGUAGGGUUACACCAGUGAAAGCUACUGUAGGAAAAAUCAGAAUAAAGCCCAAUGUGGAGAAACUU
Zonotrichia leucophrys gambelii is the source of this 1384-nucleotide long non-coding RNA. RefSeq lists it as uncharacterized. The transcript has 3 exons. NCBI's taxonomy places the organism in Eukaryota, Metazoa, Chordata, Aves, Passeriformes, Passerellidae. The record is from RefSeq and is a predicted model, not a curated record.